This 701-nucleotide long non-coding RNA is filed under the name Cyanistes caeruleus (blue tit). Its description in RNAcentral is "lncRNA (ENSCCEG00000011938.1)". The record is from RNAcentral. Lineage: Eukaryota; Metazoa; Chordata; Aves; Passeriformes; Paridae.
AUUUUGAGUUUAUUUUGUCCCCUUGUUGCUGCUGAGUGUCACAGGAGUAAACCGAGACCGCUGCCGUACCUCUAGAACUUACCCUAUCCCCACAAUGACAAAACAUCCUCCAUUUUCAAAGUGAUUUACAAUUUUCAGAUUGUGUUUUCCAUUUCUGCAGUAGGAAGAUUUAGGGUUGGGUAGAAACUGUACGUUCUGAAGCUUUGGCUGUAUGAAAUUUUAUAUACAUAAUACAUUUUAAAUAGCUUCGUUGAAGCAUGACUGAGCAUGUGUUUUGGACUGAGUGAUGUCUUAGUCUGAAAAGUUGGGCAAAGUUUCAUCAGAACUUUCCUUAUCAUUGCCAGUUUCUUGUGCUAGAAAUUCUUGUGAUUUAAAUUGCUACAAAUACUGUACUGAAACUUUCGCAAAACUUGCUUAAAUAUCUAGGAGUUAAGUCUGAAACUGAGCAGAAUUCAGGUAGUAUUCCUCCUUCCAGGAGAUCCAGUCCAAGGAACUCAUCAAACUCCACAGAUCAGAAGGAAAGGACAUUACUGGCUAAUUUCAGGAUACAUAUAAUAUAACAGAUGGAUUGGAACAACUUGAGAGCAGAAAGAUCUACUUGCACAUAGGGGAGUCCAAUCAAUGGAUACUCAUUAGUAGCAUCAAGUUUUCAAGGAUAACUGCAUUGUUUCUUCCAUCAAAAUGAAACAAUUUUCAGUAAU